AUAUAUGGUUUUUCAAUGCUAAGGAAACAGAACUACCUUUAGUAGGUUACUUACUGCCACAGGUGACAAAACAUCAAGCACCAAAACUCCAACCAGCAGUGUUAAUUUUUUUGUUUCAUUUCCUAUUUCUUUGGAUCAUAGCUGUGUGGAAAAGUUAUCUGUCAAGACUAGAGCUUGUAGUUCAAAGAGUAACCUUUCCAAACUCCUUUAUGUAUGUUGCCAUAGUUCUUCUGCAUAGCAGUUCCAGAAAUCUCUGAAAAACAUUGUCAGGCUCCUGCAGCAACUCAGAGAAUAUACCUUUAAAGGAAGUAGUAGGCAGGGAAGAAGUGCAUGCAGAAGUGGAUGGAGGAAAGCUUAAUGAUAACAUCAAUGAGGAACGUCUCUCCAGCAGAAGUGGAGCACAAGUCUUAAAGUGACCCACAAAAGUGGUGCACACUUUUGCAGAACAGUAAGCCAAGUGGUAAACUGAACUGGGCCUACAGUGUUGAGUGUGUUAUAUUACUGAAACUGUUCCUGUGGUUAAAAAAAGGAACUGAUGCAAAGAAAAGGAGCAAUCCCCCAUUCUGGAGCCAUGAAUGCCAAUUUUGCUGUUUAUAGAGGCUUUCUCCCCCUGGGAAAUUUCCAGAAAGCGGAGUCUCCUGCUGUGUCUGGUGCCUUCUGCACCUAAGAUAAUUUGCUUCUCCUUAGCAACAUUCUUUUUCCUGGCAUGUUUGGAGUCCCCGAGAUGAACACUCUGAUAUCAUAAGGGGAAAUGAAUACAGAUGAAAAGGAAUGAUUCCAAAGGAAUGAUGACCUCUGUUUUUGAGGAUGGCUCCCUUAGGAAUGCAAUUUGCUCUUCAGCUCAAGAAACGUGUAAGAGGCAAA
This 864-nucleotide long non-coding RNA is filed under the name Pogona vitticeps (central bearded dragon). RNAcentral's name for it is "lncRNA (ENSPVIG00000024489.1)". Lineage: Eukaryota; Metazoa; Chordata; Lepidosauria; Squamata; Agamidae. The record is from RNAcentral.